Molecule: small nuclear RNA, 200 nt
Filed under: Pomacea canaliculata
Lineage: Eukaryota; Metazoa; Mollusca; Gastropoda; Architaenioglossa; Ampullariidae
Description: U2 spliceosomal RNA
Rfam family: U2 spliceosomal RNA
About the family: U2 is a small nuclear RNA (snRNA) component of the spliceosome (involved in pre-mRNA splicing). Complementary binding between U2 snRNA (in an area lying towards the 5' end but 3' to hairpin I) and the branchpoint sequence (BPS) of the intron results the bulging out of an unpaired adenosine, on the BPS, which initiates a nucleophilic attack at the intronic 5' splice site, thus starting the first of two transesterification reactions that mediate splicing.
Source: Rfam by way of RNAcentral
CUUGUUUUUAAUGUUUGAAUAAACAAACAUGGAAAAAAAAAAAAAAUCUGUUCUUAUCAGCUUAAUAUCUGAUACGUCCUCCAUUGGGGGACUUCGAUAUUAAACUGAUUUUUGAAACAUGACGGAGUGUUAGGGGCUUGCUCCACCUCUGUCACGGGUCGGCCUGGUAUUGCAGUACCUCCAGGAUCGGCCCACUCUCC